Molecule: ribosomal RNA, 301 nt
Filed under: uncultured bacterium
Lineage: Bacteria
Description: partial 16S ribosomal RNA
Rfam family: Bacterial small subunit ribosomal RNA
Source: RNAcentral
CAGCCGCCGCGGUAAUACGAAGGGGGCUAGCGUUGCUCGGAAUGACUGGGCGUAAAGGGCGCGUAGGCGGUUUAUCUAGUUAGGUGUGAAAUUCCUGGGCUCAACCUGGGGGCUGCAUCUAAUACUGGUGGACUUGAGUUCGGAAGAGGGUCGUGGAAUUCCCAGUGUAGAGGUGAAAUUCGUAGAUAUUGGGAAGAACACCGGUGGCGAAGGCGGCGACCUGGUCCGAUACUGACGCUGAGGCGCGAAAGCGUGGGGAGCAAACAGGAUUAGAUACCCGUGUAGUCCCUGUCUCUUAUAA